Molecule: small RNA, 47 nt
Filed under: Arabidopsis thaliana (thale cress)
Lineage: Eukaryota; Viridiplantae; Streptophyta; Magnoliopsida; Brassicales; Brassicaceae
Description: ATSL146160
Source: RNAcentral
CUGAUUUGUAACACUCUGUUUCUUCGCCGCUUCCAUUUUUUCUGACC